Sapajus apella (tufted capuchin) is the source of this 97-nucleotide long non-coding RNA. RefSeq lists it as uncharacterized. Lineage: Eukaryota; Metazoa; Chordata; Mammalia; Primates; Cebidae. The transcript has 3 exons. The record is from RefSeq and is a predicted model, not a curated record.
ACAGAUAUUCCUCUUUAAUGGCCUAUAAGUUACCUGUGGAGGAUGUCCACCCUCUGUUUCAGGCCUUUUUGAAUUAGAGCCAGUGUUACACCUUCAA